CCCCAGACUCCUACGGGAGGCAGCAGUGGGGAAUAUUGGGCAAUGGACGCAAGUCUGACCCAGCAACGCCGCGUGAAGGAAGAAGGCUUUCGGGUUGUAAACUUCUUUUAAGGGGGAAGAGCAGAAGACGGUACCCCUUGAAUAAGCCACGGCUAACUACGUGCCAGCAGCCGCGGUAAUACGUAGGGGGCGAGCGUUAUCCGGAUUUACUGGGUGUAAAGGGAGCGUAGACGGUUCUGCAAGUCUGAAGUGAAAGCCCGUGGCUUAACCGCGGAACGGCUUUGGAAACUGUGGAACUGGAGUGCUGGAGAGGCAAGCGGAAUUCCUAGUGUAGCGGUGAAAUGCGUAGAUAUUAGGCGGAACACCAGUGGCGAAGGCGGCUUGCUGGACAGUAACUGACGUUGAGGCUCGAAAGCGUGGGGAGCAAACAGGAUUAGAUACCCUGGUAC
This 449-nucleotide ribosomal RNA is filed under the name uncultured bacterium. RNAcentral's name for it is "bacterial SSU rRNA". It matches the Rfam family "Bacterial small subunit ribosomal RNA", at positions 329 to 793 of the family's 1533-position model. The record is from RNAcentral.